GACGGAGGGGGCUAGCGUUGUUCGGAAUUACUGGGCGUAAAGGGCGCGUAGGCGGAUUAGUAAGUUGGAAGUGAAAGCCCAGGGCUUAACCUUGGAACUGCUUUCAAAACUGCUAGUCUAGAGUGAAGUAGGGGGUGAUGGAAUUCCUAGUGUAGAGGUGAAAUUCUUAGAUAUUAGGAGGAACACCGGUGGCGAAGGCGGUCACCUGGACUUCAACUGACGCUGAGGCGCGAAAGCGUGGGGAGCAAACAGG
RNAcentral lists this ribosomal RNA (253 nucleotides) under uncultured bacterium. RNAcentral's name for it is "partial 16S ribosomal RNA". It matches the Rfam family "Bacterial small subunit ribosomal RNA", at positions 524 to 776 of the family's 1533-position model. The record is from RNAcentral.